UACGUAGGUGGCAAGCGUUGUCCGGAUUUACUGGGCGUAAAGAGCGCGCAGGCGGUCGAUCAAGUCGCGUGUGAAAGCCCCCGGCUCAACUGGGGAGGGUCACGCGAUACUGAUCGACUCGAAGGCAGGAGAGGGUAGUGGAAUUCCCGGUGUAGUGGUGAAAUGCGUAGAUAUCGGGAGGAACACCAGUGGCGAAGGCGGCUUCCUGGUCUGCGACUGACGCUGUGGCGCGAAAGCUAGGGGAGCAAACGGG
This 253-nucleotide ribosomal RNA is filed under the name uncultured bacterium. RNAcentral describes it as "partial 16S ribosomal RNA". It matches the Rfam family "Bacterial small subunit ribosomal RNA", at positions 524 to 776 of the family's 1533-position model. The record is from RNAcentral.